Molecule: non-coding RNA, 361 nt
Organism: Meleagris gallopavo (turkey)
Lineage: Eukaryota; Metazoa; Chordata; Aves; Galliformes; Phasianidae
Source: RefSeq, a predicted model, not a curated record
CGUCGGCCUCGUGCGGGGCCUUCCCUUUGGGCGGGUUUAAAUCAAAACAAGCGGCCGAGCUUCGGGGGGCGAACGAGGCCGCUCGGCGUCGGCGGUACCUGCUCCGUUCCCGCUGUCUUCCUCUCGCCUUGGAUGCGUGACAAGAGCCAACUCGCCUCUGGUGGGCUCUGGGAGCCGCGGGGCUGUAACCCUUUGCAGGAAGUUGGCACGGCUCCCAGGCCCGGCGUUGCCCCACACUGUUGCCCAUGGGGCUGCCCCACGCGCUGCCGCUCUUGCACACGUACCAGUGAAGGAUGACCUGGGCAACACCGAGAACAACAACUUCCUGCUCCGGCUCCCUCCAACGCCUGUUUCCACGCGG